UUGGGAGACAUCGCUGAUGGAGAUGCAGCCCUCCGGGGCGUGAGGGCGGCUCCAAGGCCCGCGCUAGCAGCGGGGAGGACCGGAGCUGUGGACGCGGAGGAGACCCGUCAGGAGCAUAAAUGGACUGCGCCGGCUGGGACGUCACGAUGCGUCGUCGCCACAAAGCUCAUGAACGCGCUCAUUUGGCUCCCAGCAUGCCGCACACCCGGAGGGACCGCCGCUUACAAGGAGGACCCCCUAAAAGCCCGACCUGGAGCACCCGAGGAGGAACAAGAGCAUCCAGAGGUUUCUGUCGCACACUAGCUGCUGCAGGCCUGAGGGGUUGUCUGUUAUCUUUGGUUAUCUAGCUGUAUGAGUGACGUACAUUCUUCAUAAAGCUAGAUAACCGAAAGUAACAAGAAUCCCAUUACACGCCUGCACAGGAAGAAGGAAAACGGCGCGGAAAUUGAGCCCAGAGAGCAGCGGAUCGGGCUGGAGGUGGACGGCAGCUGCUGCUAACCAAUGAUGUGAAGGUUUCUGAUCCGGAGGAGUUUUACAACAAACUACUCAACAAUUGAAGCUGAAGAAAAGAUCUCAAACAAAGCAACCUGGUAGAAAUCAGUUCAGACGCUCACAUCGUUCGGUUGGAUACAGAAAACUUCCAACAUGUCGACUGUUCGACAUGUUGGAUACGUCAAACGAUACGAAGGACAGAGUGAUGGAUUCUGGGAAACCGCCCUGCACAGAUGUUCAGGAAACAUCUGGACUAGAUUUUAAUGUAGGUCAGAGCUCAGAUCAGCAUCUCUCUCACAAACACACAAACAAAACAACAAUUCAGCUGAGAUGCAAGUCAUAUUUAUGUAUUUUUAUGUAAAAAAAAAAAAAUCUGAAAUUGACAAAAUUAGUGAUUUUAAGUAGUCAAGUUUUAGAUUUGCUUUAUUUUAGGAAGAACUUUUUUCAUCUUUAUCUUAAUUUCUUUAUUUUCAUUAGCUUUUAAGUUUUAUACUUGGUGAUAUUUGUCCUGUGUGAAUCUGAAUGGCUCAGUUUAUUGACAAUCUUAGGACUCUCAGCAAUCAUCUCUGAUUUUAUGUCAAACUUGUUACAUUUAUUUUAUUGACUCAGGAUAAAGUUUUAUUAUUAUUUCUGACUGAGAAUGUAUCAUUUGUUUCUUGAAAUUUUGCACUAAUUGAAGCAGUUUGCAGAAAGGUUUUUUUUAAAUGUUUAAAAGUUUAAAGGUUUAAUGUCAUUCAGUAUCGUAAAAGAAAAAGAUCGGAAAAUAAAAGAAGAUAAUUUUUUGUAGUAUUUGUUCUUGGAAAGAGUUUGCACAGAUCAGCUAGGUUUGCACUAAAAAAAGUUAGAUGUUCAGCCUUGAUUUGCACUAUAUGAGCACAAUGCAAUGUAGAAAAAGUAUGAGAGUCAGUCUGAGAUUUAAAUAUGAGUUUUUGUUCCACAAAUAUGUAUAAAUUACUGAUUCAACAUGUUAAAAAGUCUCAUUUUGUUGUAAUGUGAACGCGUGUAACUGAUUUUAAUCAGAAAAAACUGUUUAAAGGUACGAAUAAUUACACAAUAUUGCACUAUUAAUAAUUGCCUCUUAGCAAUUUUAGAAGUUCAGUUUGCACAUAACCUGAGCUGUGCUAUGCAGUGGUUUCUAAUGUAAAUCAAUAAAAGUAUUGAUGUUUACAAUAAGACAUUCA
This is a long non-coding RNA of Xiphophorus hellerii (green swordtail), 1673 nucleotides long. RefSeq lists it as uncharacterized. Lineage: Eukaryota; Metazoa; Chordata; Actinopteri; Cyprinodontiformes; Poeciliidae. The record is from RefSeq and is a predicted model, not a curated record. The transcript is spliced from 3 exons.